RNAcentral lists this ribosomal RNA (1311 nucleotides) under uncultured bacterium. Its description in RNAcentral is "partial 16S ribosomal RNA". It matches the Rfam family "Bacterial small subunit ribosomal RNA", at positions 1 to 1280 of the family's 1533-position model. The record is from RNAcentral.
GGCUUAAGAUUGUUUUACGAGUGCGGUGCUCUUAGGGCGAUUGAAUUUAGCGGCCGCGAAUUCGCCCUUAGAGUUUGAUCCUGGCUGAGGAUGAACGCUAGCGGCAGGCCUAACACAUGCAAGUCGAACGGCAGCGGGAAGGAGCUUGCUCCUUUGCCGGCGAGUGGCGCACGGGUGCGUAACGCGUAUACAACCUACCUUAUACAGGGGUAUAGCCCAGGGAAACUUGGAUUAACACCCCAUAGUAAUAUGUUUUGGCAUCAUUACAUAUUUAAAACUACGGUGGUAUAAGAUGGGUAUGCGUCCCAUUAGCUUGUUGGUGUGGUAACGGCACACCAAGGCAACGAUGGGUAGGGGCCCUGAGAGGGGGAUCCCCCACACUGGUACUGAGACACGGACCAGACUCCUACGGGAGGCAGCAGUGAGGAAUAUUGGACAAUGGGCGGGAGCCUGAUCCAGCCAUGCCGCGUGCAGGAAGACUGCCCUAUGGGUUGUAAACUGCUUUUAUACGGGAAGAAACCCACCUACGUGUAGGUGGCUGACGGUACCGUAAGAAUAAGGACCGGCUAACUCCGUGCCAGCAGCCGCGGUAAUACGGAGGGUCCGAGCGUUAUCCGGAAUCAUUGGGUUUAAAGGGUCCGCAGGCGGCCAGAUAAGUCAGUGGUGAAAUUCCGUGGCUCAACCACGGAACUGCCAUUGAUACUGUUUGGCUUGAAUCAGUCCGAGGAUGCCGGAAUGUGUGGUGUAGCGGUGAAAUGCAUAGAUAUCACACAGAACACCAAUUGCGAAGCAGGUGUCCAGAACUGUAUUGACGCUGAUGGACGAAAGCGUGGGUAGCGAACAGGAUUAGAUACCCUGGUAGUCCACGCCGUAAACGAUGGUCACUAGCUGUCCGGACUUAGUCUGGGUGGCCAAGCGAAAGUGAUAAGUGACCCACCUGGGGAGUACGUUCGCAGAUGAACUCAAAGGAAUUGACGGGGCCCGCACAGCGUGAGCAUGUGUUUAAUUCGAUGAUACGCGAGGAUCUUACCAUGGCUAGUGCAUUAUGACAGGGUGGAGACACCCUUUUCUUCGACAUUUUGCAGUGCUGCAUGGUUGUCGUCAGCUCGUGCCGUGAGGUGUCAGUUAAGUCCUAUACGAGCGCCAACCCUGUUUGUAAUUGCCCGCGAGUUAUGGUCGGGACUCUAACAAACUUGCGGGGCAACCGCCCAGAAAAUGAUUAAACUCAAAAAACUCGUCUUAUCCUGGUCUACAUGCUUUAAUGGCAGAAGCAAGCCCACCUGUUGAACACCGAAGCGAAACUGUUUUAAC